Molecule: ribosomal RNA, 1415 nt
Filed under: Chroococcidiopsis sp. CENA367
Lineage: Bacteria; Bacillati; Cyanobacteriota; Cyanophyceae; Chroococcidiopsidales; Chroococcidiopsidaceae
Description: bacterial SSU rRNA
Rfam family: Bacterial small subunit ribosomal RNA
Source: RNAcentral
GAUGAACGCUGGCGGUAUGCUUAACACAUGCAAGUCGAACGGAGCUUUUCGGAGCUUAGUGGCGGACGGGUGAGUAACGCGUGAGAAUCUGCCUUUUGGACGGGGACAACUGCUGGAAACGGCAGCUAAGACCGGAUGUGCCUGCGGGUGAAAUAUUUAUAGCCAAAAGAGGAGCUCGCGACCGAUUAGCUAGUUGGUGGGGUAAGAGCCUACCAAGGCUGCGAUCGGUAGCCGGUUUGAGAUGGACGAGCGGCCACACUGGACUGAGACCGCCCCAGACUCNUACGGGAGGCAGCAGUGGGAAUUUUCCGCAAUGGGCGAAAGCCUGACGGAGCAAUACCGCGUGAGGGAGGAAGGCUCUUGGGUCGUAAACCUCUUUUCUCAGGGAAGAAACAAAUGACGGUACCUGAGGAAUCAGCAUCGGCUAACUCCGUGCCAGCAGCCGCGGUAAUACGGAGGAUGCAAGCGUUAUCCGGAAUGAUUGGGCGUAAAGCGUCCGCAGGUGGCACAUCAAGUCUGCUGUCAAAGCCCCCAGCUUAACUGGGAAGAGGCGGUGGAAACUGGUGAGCUAGAGAGCAAUAGGGGUAGAGGGAAUUCCCGGUGUAGCGGUGAAAUGCGUAGAGAUCGGGAAGAACACCAGUGGCGAAAGCGCUCUACUAGGUUGCAACUGACACUGAGGGACGAAAGCUAGGGGAGCGAAUGGGAUUAGAUACCCCAGUAGUCCUAGCCGUAAACGAUGGAUACUAGGCGUUUCUCGUAUCGACCCGAGGAGUGCCGGAGCCAACGCGUUAAGUAUCCCGCCUGGGGAGUACGCACGCAAGUGUGAAACUCAAAGGAAUUGACGGGGGCCCGCACAAGCGGUGGAGUAUGUGGUUUAAUUCGAUGCAACGCGAAGAACCUUACCAGGGCUUGACAUGUCUGGAACCCGUGGGAAACUAUGGGGUGCCGAAAGGAGCCAGAACACAGGUGGUGCAUGGCUGUCGUCAGCUCGUGUCGUGAGAUGUUGGGUUAAGUCCCGCAACGAGCGCAACCCUCGUGUUUAGUUGCCAUCAUUCAGUUGGGCACUCUAGACAGACUGCCGGUGACAAACCGGAGGAAGGUGGGGAUGACGUCAAGUCAGCAUGCCCCUUACGUCCUGGGCGACACACGUACUACAAUGCUACGGACAACGGGAAGCCAACCAGCGAUGGGGAGCAAAGCCCAGCAAACCGUAGCUCAGUUCAGAUCGCAGGCUGCAACUCGCCUGCGUGAAGGCGGAAUCGCUAGUAAUCGCCGGUCAGCCAUACGGCGGUGAAUACGUUCCCGGGCCUUGUACACACCGCCCGUCACACCAUGGAAGUUGGCCACGCCCGAAGUCAUUACUCUAACCUUUCGAGGAGGAGGAUGCCGAAGGCAGGGCUGAUGACUGGGGUGAA